Molecule: ribosomal RNA, 253 nt
Filed under: uncultured prokaryote
Description: partial 16S ribosomal RNA
Rfam family: Bacterial small subunit ribosomal RNA
Source: RNAcentral
UACGGGGGGGGCGAGCGUUGUUCGGAAUUACUGGGCGUAAAGGGCGCGUAGGCGGUUCAUUAAGUUGGAUGUGAAAACUCUGGGCUUAACCCAGAGCCUGCAUUCAAAACUGAUGGGCUGGAGUUCUGGAGGGGAUAGCGGAAUUCCUGGUGUAGCGGUGAAAUGCGUAGAUAUCAGGAGGAACACCGGUGGCGAAGGCGGCUAUCUGGACAGAAACUGACGCUGAGGCGCGAAAGCUAGGGGAGCAAACAGG